AUGAACGCUAGCGACAGGCCUAACACAUGCAAGUCAGGGGCAGCACAAGGAGCAAUCUGAGGUGGCGACCGGCGCACGGGUGAGUAACACGUAUGCAACCUGCCUGUAAGCGGGGAAUAACCCGUUGAAAGACGGACUAAUACCGCAUAAUACUAAAUUACUGCAUGGUAAUUUAUUUAAACAUUUAUGGCUUACAGAUGGGCAUGCGCAUGAUUAGCUAGUUGGAGAGGUAACGGCUCCCAAGGCAACGAUCAUUAGGGGUUCUGAGAGGAAGGUCCCCACACUGGUACUGAGACACGGACCAGACUCCUACGGGAGGCAGCAGUGAGGAAUAUUGGUCAAUGGACGAGAGUCUGAACCAGCCAAGUCGCGUGCAGGAAGAAUGUCCUUAAUGGAUUGUAAACUGCUUUUGCAGGGGAAUAAAGUGCAUCACGUGUGAUGUUUUGUAUGUACUCUGCGAAUAAGGAUCGGCUAACUCCGUGCCAGCAGCAGC
RNAcentral lists this ribosomal RNA (493 nucleotides) under uncultured bacterium. RNAcentral describes it as "bacterial SSU rRNA". It matches the Rfam family "Bacterial small subunit ribosomal RNA", at positions 29 to 518 of the family's 1533-position model. The record is from RNAcentral.